Molecule: transfer RNA, 58 nt
Filed under: Pentapycnon charcoti
Lineage: Eukaryota; Metazoa; Arthropoda; Pycnogonida; Pantopoda; Pycnogonidae
Description: tRNA-Asn
Source: RNAcentral
UCAUCAAUAAUAAAAUUUCACUGUUAAUGAAAAAAAAGAAUAAAUAAUUCUUGAUGAA